RNAcentral lists this long non-coding RNA (1510 nucleotides) under Phaseolus vulgaris (common bean). RNAcentral describes it as "long non-coding RNA (PVUL_LNC005268)". Lineage: Eukaryota; Viridiplantae; Streptophyta; Magnoliopsida; Fabales; Fabaceae. The record is from RNAcentral.
AAGAAAGAUCCACUCUUGAUAGCAUCCUCGUUGGCAUUUCCAAGAGCAGCCUCAUUCAAGUACUGGUCAGCCAAUUGGACUCUCUUCACAUUCUCUUGUUCUUGGACAAGCAUGCUAGCAUACAGCAAGAGCUUGUCCAGAGUCAUCUUGGGCUGGUCAAAGGUAGGAGGUCCUUCCUUUGAGUUCACAAGCUUCUUCCCAACAGAAUCAACACCAACACCAGAAAUCCACUUCCUUACUUCAUCAUCAUACACUCUGGCCCUCAGUGCACCAAAGAAAUCUGCACCACAACAUGGGAUGUUAUUGCAGUUAUUUGUGAAAAUACAAUCAAAUUGCUCCUUGGUUUUAUUAUUUUCAAUGGAAUCAAAUUGUUCUCUUUCUUAAACUCAUCUAAUGUUGUUCUUUUUUAAAAUUGGAACCCAAAUUCUACCUUAGUGUUACAGUUUUUGGUUCUUAGUUCUUACCAAUGGAUUGGCCAGGGUGUUUGUCAACAAGCUCGACAAUGUCCUUUUCAGGAACACCAUCGGUCCGGAAAAUUCCCUUGCAAACACCAAUGCGGUCUUCCCUUGUUGGUGCCCAGUAGAACUUCUCCAUACGACCAUCACGGAUGAGAGGAGCAUAAAGUGUUGAGAAAUCGUUACCAGUGACAAUGAUGGGCACACGGGCGUUAUCUUCCUUGUUGUACAUACCAGGAAGCUGCACAUUUGUGGGGUUAUCAGCAAUGUUCAUGAGAGUGGCAUUCACCAUCUGGUUGUUCACAGUGUAUUGGGUGGUUCCACCAAGACGACCUGCUCCUGCAUCAAGAUCAUUGAUGAACAGAACACACAUCUUUCCCUUCUUGAUUAAGUCUGAGGCUUCACGGUAUCUCUGCCUAAUCAAUUUUGCUGGCUCUCCGGCAUUUCCACUUUCCAACUCUCCAGCACUCAUCAUGAUGGGGCUGUAAUGUAAUCACAAUUCAAACAAAUCAAAUAUAAAGAGUGUUCAGUUCAUUUGUUGUGAGCUUCAAUACAAUAUAAUUCAAAUCUUUGAUGAAGUAUGAGUAUUGCCAGAUAUCAAUACUUCCUACUCUGUGUUUGAGUGGGGAUUUGUGAAAAUGAAUUCGAAGUUAAAUAGUUCAUGUUUGGACAUGUUUAUCUCAAACCAUGUAAAAAUAGUAAAAUCUAGGACAAAAUUUUGGGUUCAACACAAAAGUUGUUUAAAUUCCUCUCCAUGAUACAGAACAUGUGAUUUUAUAUAUAAAAUUACUUUAGCUAUAUUUGAUGACCGUGAUUAAAAAGUUCACAUAAUGAAGGGGAUAGUUCAGCAAGAACUCACUUGAUUCCCAUCUUGGCAAAGACAAGCUCACAUUGGAAAGAUUUUCCUUGUCCCUUGCCUCCCCAGACACCAAGAAUGAGAGGAACCUGCAAAAGGAUUAGAAAAAAAAUGAAUGGUGUCUCCCAAUUUGAGAAAAGUUGAAGUGCAAUUUAUGCAGAGAAGAUGUUUGUGGUGGCAUGCCUUGAUGUUGGGCAAG